UCGAGGAUCUUCGUCAAUGGGCGAAAGCCUGAACGAGCGAUGCCGCGUGUGCGAUGAAGGCCUUCGGGUUGUAAAGCACAAAAGAGAUGAGAAAGGGCAACUCGAUCGAAUCUCAGUAAGCUCGGGCUAAGUUCGUGCCAGCAGCCGCGGUAAGACGAACCGAGCGAACGUUGUUCGGAAUCACUGGGCUUAAAGGGCGCGUAGGCGGGCGGCUAAGUCCGCGGUGAAAUCCUCCAGCUCAACUGGAGAACUGCCGUGGAUACUGGUUGUCUCGAGGAACGUAGGGGUAUGCGGAACUAUCGGUGGAGCGGUGAAAUGCGUUGAUAUCGAUAGGAACUCCGGUGGCGAAGGCGGCAUACUGGACGUUUUCUGACGCUGAGGCGCGAAAGCCAGGGGAGCAAACGG
This 405-nucleotide ribosomal RNA is filed under the name uncultured bacterium. Its description in RNAcentral is "bacterial SSU rRNA". It matches the Rfam family "Bacterial small subunit ribosomal RNA", at positions 355 to 775 of the family's 1533-position model. The record is from RNAcentral.